AAAGAUUGUCGUUUUAUACUGUUCAUAUCUAACAUUUGUCUGUCUGUCUUAUUUGAAAAGUUUUUAUGAUUAGUAUUUUAAUUGUUAUUAAAUGAUAAAAUAUAAGUAAUACUUUAUUUCUGACUAUUUUUUUUAUGUUUUCCAUAAAGUUUUUAAAUAAGAUGGGCGGUCAAAUGUUGGACACGGAAACCCACAACUGCACUUAAA
Molecule: microRNA precursor, 207 nt
Filed under: Oryza glumipatula
Lineage: Eukaryota; Viridiplantae; Streptophyta; Magnoliopsida; Poales; Poaceae
Description: MIR812 microRNA precursor family
Rfam family: MIR812 microRNA precursor family
Source: Rfam by way of RNAcentral